UGUUUGACAUCAGGUCAGCACUUCGUACAUGCUGACUAUUGUUGUUGGUCCACUUGGACUUCAGGGAACAAGUCCUAAAAUUUUACAUAGCCCUUGUGUGUUCACAGAAGAAGGUAUUCAUAAAUCGGUUUAGAACUUGGAGGAGUAUUCAUCUAUCAGUUAAGUUUGGACUGGUAGUUUUCCUGGACAGAGCUAGAGUCAGGAGAGAAAACACCUUGAUAAGAUAGAACUACCACACAGCCCAUUUCACCCAGGUGCAUGUAUAGCUGCUCUUACUAACAUGUUUGUUCUCAGGUUGGACUUAGAUGAGGGAUGAAAGACCCGAGUUGAAUUCCCAGAAUUGAAGGGGCUUCCAUCCCACUAAAAGACAGUGGUUCUCAAAGCAUGGUCCUUAAGGAGUAUCAGCUAUGGUCUGCUUCUUCGACAUGUCAGUUCUCAAGCCUCACCCUAGCCCUAUUGAAUCAGAAACUCUGAAGGAGGGCCGUAAGCUCCAGGUGAUUCUGAUGCAGGGUAGAGUUAGAAUCACUGACCUAAGGCUGUCACAGCUAAAUCAUUUUGCCACUGCUUUGCUUGUAGCUCUUGGUUGAGUUCAGGCUCAGCUUUUACCCCUUUGCUCCAGAAAAGCUGCAGUUGCUGUGGCAUGGGGUUGAUCGCUGGCCCAGGAACUUCAUGCCAUGUGUUUGGCCAAAAUGAAUGAACACAUGAAUGAAUUAUAUUUUUUUAAGUUACACUGAGAAAAACUGGUGGAGUCAGAAUCUGAAUCCAGACAGUCUGACCCUCUGCACUCAGUGGACUCUAUCACAGUGACUUUCAACUUUCCUGAACUCCACAGCAGCUAGCAUCACACUGAGAGGGAAAGGGAACUGGGCAACAGAUCUCCAGCUAUCCCCCUCCUUUCUGAUUUCUGGAGACAUGGCCGUCCCCACAAUUCUCCCAUAUCUGUGACUGUUCCUCCCCUUCCUUUACUAACUUUCCUUUCACCUACUCAGUGAUGGGGAUCACACCUGUCACCACAUGUAGACUUCCCCAUGGGUCAGUCCUUAGUUUCCCCUUUUCCUGUAUCUAUGGAAAACCCCACACUUACAUACAGCUUCAACGUUUACCCUUUUUGGAUGAUGCCCAAAUCUGUAUUUGCCUUGAAAUGUUUUCUCAUCUCUAGUUCCAAAUUUCAAGCAGCCUGGGCUUUUCUGCAUGGGUAUCUUUCUGUCACUUUUACUUCGUCACCUGCAGCUGAAUUUACCAAUGUCCCUAUCUCCUCCAUCUCCAGCACCCACUUGCCUAAUUGUCCACAUAAGGCCAGCCUCCAUCUCUUCUUCAUGCUUUCAUUCAUAUUCCAGACCCUGUCUUUCUUCAUAUGGACAUCAGUGUCUUUUUCAACCUUGUGUUUUUCAUAUAACAAGGGUAUCUAUUUAGGUCUUAAAUGAGAAAAUUUAAGUUGAUGGCCAAGCCAGUUCAUUUAAUUAUGAAAACGGUGUAAUAUGGCAUGCAAGAUGAGGCAUGAUACGGCUUAGCUUUAGUUACAGAACAAAGGUAUGAAAUGCCAGACAGGAAUGGGUUUUUAAAAAGCAAGAAAAAAAAAAUAGGUAGUGUAAAAGCCAGAGCAUCUAAGAGGCAUCUUCAUGGAGACACCAGGGAAAACAUAAUUUUGAUUUUCAUUAAUGACCAAUUGCAUUGAACAAUGAAUUGGACAUUACAGCACUUAUAAACAAACCAUAAUUAUAAAGUGUUAUUCUAAUUGUUAAUUAGAUCUAUUUAUGCUCUAGAUUAGUUUUUUAAAUAUGUCCUCUAGAUGCCACUUGAUGCUAAUUAUCUUAGUUACGUUAUUAUCAAUUGAAAAACAUUUUUAAUUAAAUCUAAAGCCAUUUAAAUUAGCAUAAGAUUUAUAGAAAUUUAAAUGUGGUCUGAUGCUUCUUUUUUUUUCUAAGGCCACAUCAGAUGAUGCAUUUAACCUUUUGAAUUAGCUUUUGAUGAAACUCUCUACUGCAACCUAGCAGUUGAUAAUGAUGAGGAAAAGAGUGGGGCGUUCUUAGUAGUGUUUAUUGAUUAAAUGUAUGUGUGUAUCAUAUAUAUAUACAUAUAUAUAUAUAUAUUCCUAUAUGUAAUAUUUCCAAAUCACUGCUAUUGGAAUCAUGGAGAUACAGAGAUGAAUGUUACUCUUCCUGCUCUUUCAGGGAUCUGUCUGUUGAAUCAGGGAGAUGAAACACACAUGCAAAUAUCUGAGAGCCCAAGCAGAAAACAAGCUUCUUAGAAGGGUAGAAACAAAGGGGCUAUGGAAUUACAGAAUCAGAUGUACGGGGGUGGUAUCCCAGAGAGAAUUUAGAAAGCUUUCUAAAUGAAGAGGGUAUUCGAACUAGGUCUUGAGUAUGGAUUAGGAGGGAAACACAAACAGACACACACACACACACACACAGAUAAUGCAUUUUUUGGCAAAUGGAAUAGCAUAUGUUUAUCAGAUGAGACUUCCUUAAAUGCUGAGCAUCCAACUCAAAGCCAGAGAUGGGGAGGUUGAUUGCUUUCUGUGAUAGAAAAGUUUAGGGGUAGCCAGCUUCAGGUUAGAUUCAGGGGCUCAACUAAUGUGACAAAACUCAGUUUCUCUCUUUCCCUUACCAUCUCUUCACUCUGUUUUCCAAUCUUGUAUUUUGUCUUCACUUCUGCUGGUGAGCAGGAGGAGGGCUAGUCUUCCUAGAUAAAUCCAACCUCGUCCUUGUUUUUACCCUCACUGAAGUGACUUGGGCCAUGUGCUCCUCCUUGAAGGAGCUGUUGUGACCUGGAUGAUGGAAUCCACUGGAGAGCAAGGCCUGGCUCAUACGCCUACCACUAGAGCUAUUGGAAUGAAAUGCCUGAGUGUGAGAUAGAGACUAGUCAGUUCUCAAAAGGAAAACUGAGGUGGUAUCACCAGGAAAGGGACUGGGUGCUGGGCAUUAAAAAAAAAAAAAAGGCAGGGACUACUCAUUGUGGUGCAGCAGAAACAAAUCUGACUAAUGUCUAUGAGGAUGUGGGUUUGAUCCCUGGCCUUGUUCAGUGGGUUAAAGGUCCAGCAUUGCCAUGAGCUAUGGUGUAGGUUGCAAACGAGGCUCAGAUCCCAUGUUGCUGUGGCUGUGGCUUAGACCAGUGGCUGUAACCCCUAGCCUGGGAACCUCCAUAUGCUGUGGGUUUGGCCCUGAAAAGCAAAAAAAAAAAAAGCAAAUAACUCAUUCAUGGAAAAUCAUAGUUGUUGAACAUGCAACAGUAGAACCAGGGAAUCAUAAGGGUGUUAGUGGAAGACAAUCUGUGAGUUCUCUCCUCCUUGCCUGCUUAGCCCCAGAUACUCUGGCUUCCUUACAUCAUCACCAAGCAUAUUUUCACAGCCCAGCAUCUGUGCUUACUCUUGCCUAUGCAUGGAAUCCUUUUUUCCAGUCUACACUUAAAAGGUCUCUUUUGUUAUGGCUUACAAUAUCACUUCAUCAAAGAGGUCUUCUUUGACCACCUUAAAAAAAAUAGCGUGUUCCUGCUCUCCAUGUCUACAGCAGGAGCUGGCACAGUAUGGCCUGUGGGCCAAAUCAGGCCACCAGCAGUGCUUGCUUUGUAAGCAGUGUUGCCCUGGAACACAGCCUGACUCAUUUAUGUUGCUCAGGGUUGCAUUCACACUAUAACAGCAGCAUGGAGCAGUUGAUACAGAUCAUAUGGCCCACAAAGCCUAAAAUAAUUAUUUCACACUUUACAGGAAGAGUUUGUCCAUUCCUGGUCUGCAUCUUUACUCUGCUUUAAUCUUCCUUAGAGCAGUUAUCACAACAUGACACAGUAUGUAGUGUAUAAAUGUGUUAUGGUCAUCCUGUCCACCUCAUGAGAAUGCAAACUUCAUGACAACAGGAACUUCUGUGUUUCAGAGUCUAGAAUAAUGCCUGGCUCAUAGUGGGUGCUCAGUAAUAUUUGUUGCAUGCAAGGACUGGAAGGUUUCAACCCUGGAAUGUUUGAUAACCAAUCUGGAUAGUACAUAGUUGCAGGGAGUAAGACUUUGCAUAUAAGUUAAGUGAUGAUUAUAAUACCUUUGUGAGGUUUUAUAAGAGGCUAAAUGAAGAUGGAAAGAGAGAGGGGAAAGAUCAUCUGGAAAGAGAACUAAUGAGACUUGGCAACUAACUGAAUGUGCAGGAUCCAGAAGGAGGGACGUCAGGAUAUUUCUGGUGUUAUGAGCCUUGUCAGUCAGACAGUUGUGCAGGAAUGUGUUGGAGUGACAGCAGGUUUUUGAGCUUCAGAUACACUGGGUCUUGCUACUUGAGCACCUCUCUGAGGGGGAGGUCAAGAGUCUGGUGGGAAAUGCCAGCCAAAAAAAAAAACACCCACAAGAGAUGCCCUGCUGAGCCAAAGGGUCGGAGACCCAUUCACACAGAUUGAACAGAUGGACUCCAAAGAGGAAAUAGUUGAAGAGGGCAGCCUGGAGCAAGACCUCAGAGAAGCUCAUCAGAGAGAGCAUCACCCAAACAGGCCCCCGGCCACCAGGCCACUUCUUUCUCUGAUGGAGGCUCAGGGCUGGUUUACUGAGGCCAUGACUGUUUCCUUGAGGCACUCAGAAUUUGAGGGCCCCAUCCCAUGUCCUGUGCUUUUCCUAAUCUACCCUGCCUUUCACCAGGAAGAGGAACGCAAAGGCUUGAGGAUGUGGUAUAAUUGGGCUCCGAAAUACCUACCAGCCCCCCGAUGUUGGUUAUGUUCCUCACAUCAUUCAGGCCAUGUGCGAAAGUGCUAAAUAAACCACCUCUCCCCCUUUCCUUUCUCCUUUAGGUUAGGGUUAGGGUUAGGGUCUUCAUGUUUUUCUCUUCUUCCUCUUCCUUGCUGAAGUAUCCCACCAGUGAGUGGAAGGAAGCAUGAGAAAGGCUACAAGACUAUAGUAAAAAGUGGACCCUGGGUCCCUCUUCUGCAGUGGUAAAAACUGACUGAUUCAGAUAUGGAGCUUCAGAAGAGGAGAACCUAUCAACUUAAUAAUAACAUUUGGAUAAAAAAUCAGAGGAACCUGAAACUUGCCAGAGCCCUCCUUCUGCUCUGUGUUAUCCUUAGCAGAGAUCAUCUGGUGUGGAUUCAACUAUUUAAAAAGAACAGCUGCUUGUAGAGUUCUUGAGGCACCUCAUUCCAAAGUUGGUUUAUUAUUUACAGGAAUAAUGUAUUAGAUCAUAAAGAUGUGUUUCCCAUAAAUAAUGUAGCGAGAAAGCCACAUAUAAGGGAGUCUCAGAUGAACAGCCCCAACCUUAAUAAACCGGAGAUCCUUAAUGAGGAAAAGCACAACUUUAUAAUAGAGAAAUAAUAAUGGGGUUUCAUUUGAAAGGCUCCUGCGAGUACAG
This 5309-nucleotide long non-coding RNA is filed under the name Sus scrofa (pig). RNAcentral's name for it is "lncRNA (ENSSSCG00035065814.1)". Lineage: Eukaryota; Metazoa; Chordata; Mammalia; Artiodactyla; Suidae. The record is from RNAcentral.